ACUAUAGAGGAAGAAUGUCGCUGGCGUCGCUGCCGAAACAUCUCUUGCUGGUGGAGAUAGGCCGGGCUAUAAGUGUCAAAGCGAAAAAGUAUGCAGUUUGACAGAUAGAUACCCGACAUGUUUGCGAGCGAGAACAAAGGGAACAGCAGCGACAUUCGUCCUCUAUAGUUUAUUAACUCUAUUCCCAAAACAAGUCUCGCUUCUUCCGGACGGCACGCAUCGGGAUUAGCUUUGUUGUGACCGUUGUAACAUCUGUUUUACCCAGUUUUGUUCCAGCUCCGUUGCAUUUGCAUUGAGAAUACCCUGUAGGUAGAUAAAAUGCUCAACCUGUGAUUUGAAUCUGAGGUGCAGCCACCAAAACUUUGGGUUUCCAGCGGAUGUUCCGCUGCGCUUGAUUCCGGGAUGUUGGAGGGCGAAAGUAAUCCGGCCGCUGGCAGUGAGGAGAGCCCAUUCAGGGGUACCUUCCGGGAACGAAUGAAUGCAGUUGGAACACCAAGGAUGCCGAGGGACGGCUGGCCCAUCGGAACAAGAAUUCGAUCUUCCCGGAAACGAUAGCCACCAGCCAGAUGUUGAUCCUGCGGUACCUUACGCCAAUGAGAGAUUUGUGCUCAUUCUGCGAAUGG
This is a long non-coding RNA of Aedes albopictus (Asian tiger mosquito), 623 nucleotides long. RefSeq lists it as uncharacterized. The transcript is spliced from 3 exons. The record is from RefSeq and is a predicted model, not a curated record. NCBI's taxonomy places the organism in Eukaryota, Metazoa, Arthropoda, Insecta, Diptera, Culicidae.